Molecule: ribosomal RNA, 476 nt
Filed under: uncultured organism
Description: partial 16S ribosomal RNA
Rfam family: Bacterial small subunit ribosomal RNA
Source: RNAcentral
ACGUACACUCCUGCGGGAGGCAGCAGUGGGGAAUUUUGGACAAUGGGCGAAAGCCUGAUCCAGCCAUGCCGCGUGCAGGAUGAAGGCCUUCGGGUUGUAAACUGCUUUUGUACGGAACGAAACGGCCUUUUCUAAUAAAGAGGGCUAAUGACGGUACCGUAAGAAUAAGCACCGGCUAACUACGUGCCAGCAGCCGCGGUAAUACGUAGGGUGCAAGCGUUAAUCGGAAUUACUGGGCGUAAAGCGUGCGCAGGCGGUUAUGUAAGACAGUUGUGAAAUCCCCGGGCUCAACCUGGGAACUGCAUCUGUGACUGCAUAGCUAGAGUACGGUAGAGGGGGAUGGAAUUCCGCGUGUAGCAGUGAAAUGCGUAGAUAUGCGGAGGAACACCGAUGGCGAAGGCAAUCCCCUGGACCUGUACUGACGCUCAUGCACGAAAGCGUGGGGAGCAAACAGGAUUAGAUACCCGAGUAGUCCC